GGGGAUUUAGCUCAGCGGUAGAGCGCUUGCCUAGCAAGCGCAAGGCUCUGGGUUCGGUCCCCAGCUCCA
This is a non-coding RNA of Rattus norvegicus (Norway rat), 69 nucleotides long. The record is from Rfam. Lineage: Eukaryota; Metazoa; Chordata; Mammalia; Rodentia; Muridae.